AUGCCUCCAGUUAUACCAUUAUCUUAUUUCUGUUCAAGCAAACAUGUCCAACGCUUGGUAGACAGGACCUACUACUGUCCCGGGGCUGAACUAAACUGCGAGGAGCUAAGUCAUUAUGUUUCAUGGCUUGCGGAUCUUGAUACUGUCAGGACAAAUUUUCUUCCUGUACUUAGAAAUGUUAGUACUGAAAACAUGCGACCAAUAGUGUUCGUAAUGAACUACGGUCACAUCUAUUUAGGAAAGAUGGGACUCCCGAUGAAUGUUGUGCCUCAUGGGAUUGAGACUAAAGGUACCAUGAGGAUUGUUAGCUUACGGCCAAGAUAUCCUACAAAUCACUUUAGUGCAUUCAGGAUUAGCGACGAAUUCUUAAUAGUGAAAGACUGGACCAAAUUUGUGAUGGAGGAGCGCAGAGAAGUACUAGGGGGCAGCAAUCAGAAGCGCAGCCCACGAUUAGGAGACAGGUUCAUCUACAUGCUCCAACUUGAUGAAGGAGGAGAGCUACACAUGUUUUAUGUUAUUUUACCUGAGAAAGAGCAGCAGGAGUGA
Molecule: ribosomal RNA, 546 nt
Filed under: Triticum aestivum (bread wheat)
Lineage: Eukaryota; Viridiplantae; Streptophyta; Magnoliopsida; Poales; Poaceae
Description: partial small subunit ribosomal RNA
Source: RNAcentral